GGGCCCGCACAAGCGGUGGAGCAUGUGGUUUAAUUCGACGCAACGCGAAGAACCUUACCGGGGUUUGACAUCUUUCUGCCAGCCUGGGAAACCAGGUCUUCUUCCUUCGGGAAGACAGAAAGACAGGUGGUGCAUGGUUGUCGUCAGCUCGUGUCGUGAGAUGUUGGGUUAAGUCCCACAACGAGCGCAACCCUUGUCCUUAUUUGCCACCCUGUUUACAGAGGUACUUUAAGGAGACCGCCGUAGAUAAUACGGAGGAAGGUGGGGAUGACGUCAAAUCCUCAUGCCCCUUACGUCCCGGGCUACACACGUGCUACAAUGGUCUGUACAGAGGGUAGCCAAGGAGCAAUCCGGAGCCAAUCCCAGAAAGCAGGCCCCAGUUCGGAUUGGAGGCUGCAACUCGCCUCCAUGAAGUCGGAAUCGCUAGUAAUCGCGGAUCAGCACGCCGCGGUGAAUCCGUUCCCGGGCCUU
Molecule: ribosomal RNA, 471 nt
Filed under: uncultured bacterium
Lineage: Bacteria
Description: bacterial SSU rRNA
Rfam family: Bacterial small subunit ribosomal RNA
Source: RNAcentral